GUAUAUUUUGCAUUUCCAUUCUUUUUUUCUUUUUCUUUUUCUACUGUUUUGUGCUGU
This 57-nucleotide non-coding RNA is filed under the name Heterosigma akashiwo. Lineage: Eukaryota; Raphidophyceae; Chattonellales; Chattonellaceae. The record is from RNAcentral.